Molecule: transfer RNA, 89 nt
Filed under: Caudoviricetes sp.
Lineage: Duplodnaviria; Heunggongvirae; Uroviricota; Caudoviricetes
Description: tRNA-Ser
Rfam family: tRNA
About the family: Transfer RNA (tRNA) molecules are approximately 80 nucleotides in length. Their secondary structure includes four short double-helical elements and three loops (D, anti-codon, and T loops). Further hydrogen bonds mediate the characteristic L-shaped molecular structure. tRNAs have two regions of fundamental functional importance: the anti-codon, which is responsible for specific mRNA codon recognition, and the 3' end, to which the tRNAs corresponding amino acid is attached (by aminoacyl-tRNA synthetases). tRNAs cope with the degeneracy of the genetic code in two manners: having more than one tRNA (with a specific anti-codon) for a particular amino acid; and 'wobble' base-pairing, i.e. permitting non-standard base-pairing at the 3rd anti-codon position.
Source: RNAcentral
GAAAAGUUACUCAAGUGGUUUAAGAGGCGAGUUUGCUAAACUUGUAGGACAGAUGUGUCGCAAGGGUUCGAAUCCCUUACUUUUCGCCA